This 335-nucleotide ribosomal RNA is filed under the name uncultured Planctomycetales bacterium. RNAcentral's name for it is "bacterial SSU rRNA". It matches the Rfam family "Bacterial small subunit ribosomal RNA", at positions 473 to 806 of the family's 1533-position model. The record is from RNAcentral. Lineage: Bacteria; Pseudomonadati; Planctomycetota; Planctomycetia; Planctomycetales.
CUAAGGCUCCAGAGGAAGCCACGGCUAACUCUGUGCCAGCAGCCGCGGUAAUACAGAGGCGGCAAGCGUUGUUCGGAACUAUUGGGCGUAAAGAGCACGUAGGCGGCCUUGCAAGUCAGUUGUGAAAGCCUUCCGCUUAACGGAAGAAUGCCAGCUGAUACUACAGGGCUUGAGUACGGGAGGGGAGAGUGGAACUUCUGGUGGAGCGGUGAAAUGCGUAGAUAUCAGAAGGAACGCCGGCGGCGAAAGCGACUCUCUGGCCCGAAACUGACGCUGAGUGUGCGAAAGCUAGGGGAGCAAACGGGAUUAGAUACCCCGGUAGUCCUAGCCGUAAA